Long non-coding RNA from Ostrinia nubilalis (European corn borer), 487 nucleotides. RefSeq lists it as uncharacterized. The transcript is spliced from 2 exons. Lineage: Eukaryota; Metazoa; Arthropoda; Insecta; Lepidoptera; Crambidae. The record is from RefSeq and is a predicted model, not a curated record.
CCGACGCCCACUCAGCCUCACGACCGUCACCGGUGUCAGACGCGGCCCUCCCACACCAAGACGAAAUGGUUGGCAUCCACAGGCGAGGUCAAGCCUGGACAGCUGGUGCUCAUCAAGGAGAAGACCCCGCCACUGCUCUGGUCACUAGGGCGGGUCGUAAAGACCUAUCCAGGCGUGGAUGGCAUCACCAGGGUGGCCGAGUUGAAGACCAAGAGGGGGACCAUACGUCGAGCCUUCAACUGCAUCUGCCCGCUUCCACUUCAUUGAAGAAGAUGACUCUUCAACCCGGGGAGUAUGUUGGCGCUUCUCGGGUCCUCGGGCUUCUUCGACAUCGAUCGGCCAUCAUCGUCUCCGCGCGAGGCGCCGGCACACUUCGUACGUGCCCGACGCCCACUCAGCCUCACGACCGUCACCGGUGUCAGACGCGGCCCUCCCACGUAGGCGCGAACUAGCGAUAUAUUUAUAAUCAUUACACCUAUGAAAUACA